GGUUCAAUGGUGUAAUGGUUAGCACUCUGGACUCUGAAUCUAGUAAACUGAGUUCAAGUCUCAGUGGAACCU
This 72-nucleotide transfer RNA is filed under the name Pangasianodon gigas (Mekong giant catfish). Its description in RNAcentral is "tRNA-Gln". It matches the Rfam family "tRNA". Rfam says of the family: Transfer RNA (tRNA) molecules are approximately 80 nucleotides in length. The record is from RNAcentral. Lineage: Eukaryota; Metazoa; Chordata; Actinopteri; Siluriformes; Pangasiidae.